AUCGAACGCUGGCGGCAGGCCUAACACAUGCAAGUCGAGCGGAUGCAGGGAGCUUGCUCCUGGAUUCAGCGGCGGACGGGUGAGUAAUGCCUAGGAAUCUGCCUGGUAGUGGGGGAAAAUGUCCGGAAACGGGAGCUAAUCCUCCAUACGUACUGUGGGAGCAAGUGGGGCAGCUCGGGACUUAACGCCAUCAGAUGAGCCUAGGUGUGCUUAGCUAAUAGGUGGGGUAAAGGCCCACCAAGGCGACGAUCCGAAACUGGUCUGAGGGCAUGGACAGGCACACGGUAACUGAGACACGGUCCAGACUCCGACAGUGAGCAGCGGUGGAGAAUAUUGGACGAGGGACGAAAGCCUGAUCCAGCCAUACCGCGUGUAUGAAGAAGGACUUCUGAUGGGAGAACGCUUUAGGUUGGAAGGAAGGACAAUAAUUUAAUACCUGGCUAUUUUGACGUUACCAACAGAAUAAGCACCGGCUAACUUCGUG
Molecule: ribosomal RNA, 484 nt
Filed under: uncultured bacterium
Lineage: Bacteria
Description: partial 16S ribosomal RNA
Rfam family: Bacterial small subunit ribosomal RNA
Source: RNAcentral